RNAcentral lists this ribosomal RNA (726 nucleotides) under uncultured bacterium. RNAcentral describes it as "bacterial SSU rRNA". It matches the Rfam family "Bacterial small subunit ribosomal RNA", at positions 757 to 1482 of the family's 1533-position model. The record is from RNAcentral.
AAGCGUGGGGAGCGAACAGGAUUAGAUACCCUGGUAGUCCACGCGGUAAACGAUGAAUGCUAGGUGUAGGGGGUAUCGACCCCUCCUGUGCCGGAGUAAACACAAUAAGCAUUCCGCCUGGGGAGUACGGCCGCAAGGUUGAAACUCAAAGGAAUUGACGGGGGCCCGCACAAGCAGCGGAGCAUGUGGUUUAAUUCGACGCAACGCGAAGAACCUUACCAGGUCUUGACAUCCAAUUAAAGCUAUAGAGAUAUAGUGUGUCUUCGGACGAAUUGAGACAGGUGGUGCAUGGUUGUCGUCAGCUCGUGUCGUGAGAUGUUGGGUUAAGUCCCGCAACGAGCGCAACCCUUAUUGUCAGUUACUAACGGGUAAAGCCGAGGACUCUGACGAGACUGCCGGGGACAACUCGGAGGAAGGUGGGGACGACGUCAAAUCAUCAUGCCCCUUAUGACCUGGGCUACACACGUGCUACAAUGGUGGUAACAAAGAGGAGCGAACCUGUAAGGGCAAGCGGAUCUCAAAAAAGCCAUCUCAGUUCGGAUUGUGGGCUGCAACCCGCCCACAUGAAGUUGGAGUUGCUAGUAAUCGCGAAUCAGAAUGUCGCGGUGAAUACGUUCCCGGGCCUUGUACACACCGCCCGUCACACCAUGGGAGUCGGGAGCACCCAAAGCCGUUGAGCGAACCGCAAGGGAGCAGGCGUCUAAGGUGAGACCGAUGACUGGGGUG